Non-coding RNA from Stylophora pistillata, 73 nucleotides. The record is from the annotation of a RefSeq genome assembly. Lineage: Eukaryota; Metazoa; Cnidaria; Anthozoa; Scleractinia; Pocilloporidae.
GACUCUAUGGCCUAAUGGAUAAGGCGUCUGACUACGGAUCAGAAGAUUCCAGGUUCAAGCCCUGGUAGAGUCU